GAUAAUGAUGAUGAAAGAUGAUUCCAUAGAACAAUCCAACUCUGACCAUCAUUGAUGAUCUUACCAUCAUGCACUACCAUCUGAAUC
RNAcentral lists this small nucleolar RNA (87 nucleotides) under Arabidopsis thaliana (thale cress). RNAcentral's name for it is "ncRNA (AT1G05247)". Lineage: Eukaryota; Viridiplantae; Streptophyta; Magnoliopsida; Brassicales; Brassicaceae. The record is from RNAcentral.